RNAcentral lists this unclassified non-coding RNA (310 nucleotides) under soil metagenome. Its description in RNAcentral is "partial contains 5.8S ribosomal RNA, internal transcribed spacer 2, and large subunit ribosomal RNA". The stretch from base 1 to 120 matches the Rfam family "5.8S ribosomal RNA", at positions 35 to 154 of the family's 154-position model. The record is from RNAcentral.
GAUGAAGAACGCAGCGAAAUGCGAUAAGUAAUGUGAAUUGCAGAAUUCAGUGAAUCAUCGAAUCUUUGAACGCAUAUUGCGCCUCUUGGUAUUCCAAGAGGCAUGCCUGUUCGAGCGUCAUUAAUAUUCUAAGGCUUUGCCUUGUAUUGCUAUAACAAUUCCGUUGUAGUUAAACUGAUUGUUGUCAUCAAGUAAUUGGCCUGUAGUUAAUAUACAGACUCCUUAUAUGAGCACAGCUAUAAUCAUUCAAUUUUGACCUCGGAUCAGGUAGGGAUACCCGCUGAACUUAAGCAUAUCAAUAAGCGGAGGA